GCCUCUGACCUUUCCAGAUUGAAUAUACCCGAUCUCGUCUGAUCUCGGAAGUCAAGCAAUCUCGGGCUUGGUUAGUACUUGGAUGGGUGACCGCUUGGGAAUACCAAGUGUGAUAAGCA
This is a non-coding RNA of Ciona savignyi (Pacific transparent sea squirt), 119 nucleotides long. Lineage: Eukaryota; Metazoa; Chordata; Ascidiacea; Phlebobranchia; Cionidae. The record is from Rfam.